RNAcentral lists this ribosomal RNA (731 nucleotides) under Salmonella enterica. Its description in RNAcentral is "partial 23S ribosomal RNA". It matches the Rfam family "Bacterial large subunit ribosomal RNA", at positions 1111 to 1757 of the family's 2925-position model. The record is from RNAcentral. Lineage: Bacteria; Pseudomonadati; Pseudomonadota; Gammaproteobacteria; Enterobacterales; Enterobacteriaceae.
AGCAGCCAUCAUUUAAAGAAAGCGUAAUAGCUCACUGGUCGAGUCGGCCUGCGCGGAAGAUGUAACGGGGCUAAACCAUGCACCGAAGCUGCGGCAGCGAACGUAUCACCCAAGACAACUUUACGGAGUUGACGAUUGAUGGAGCGAAGCGACGUCAAAGCGUUCAUUAAAGUCGAGUUGGCUUAGGGAUACGUUCGUUGGGUAGGGGAGCGUUCUGUAAGCCUGUGAAGGUGGCCUGUGAGGGUUGCUGGAGGUAUCAGAAGUGCGAAUGCUGACAUAAGUAACGAUAAAGCGGGUGAAAAGCCCGCUCGCCGGAAGACCAAGGGUUCCUGUCCAACGUUAAUCGGGGCAGGGUGAGUCGACCCCUAAGGCGAGGCCGAAAGGCGUAGUCGAUGGGAAACGGGUUAAUAUUCCCGUACUUGGUGUUACUGCGAAGGGGGGACGGAGAAGGCUAUGUUGGCCGGGCGACGGUUGUCCCGGUUUAAGCGUGUAGGUGUGUGUUCCAGGUAAAUCCGGUUCACUUUAACACUGAGGCGUGAUGACGAGGCACUACGGUGCUGAAGCAACAAAUGCCCUGCUUCCAGGAAAAGCCUCUAAGCAUCAGGUAACAUCAAAUCGUACCCCAAACCGACACAGGUGGUCAGGUAGAGAAUACCAAGGCGCUUGAGAGAACUCGGGUGAAGGAACUAGGCAAAAUGGUGCCGUAACUUCGGGAGAAGGCACGCUGACAC